AGUGGGGAGGGGGAAGACCACGUUGACCGCUCCAGUUUGGCCUCACACACAGUUCAUCUCUACCCUCUCAACGCUGGGAAUCGACUUGUCCGGCUCAAGCUGGGGGCUCAGCCUUCCGCCCCUCCCAACUCGGGGACCCGGCCACCCAGGGACACCCAAGCGCGGCCUUUACCUUAGGGCCGCCAGCAAUAAAAACGGUUGGUAGGAACCGCGGCUUCCGGGUGGCGCGGGUGAAUGACGUGGCAGAGAUGAGGAGCAACCAGCAAAUGGGAUUGUGAGAGUGGCGUGUGAGGUAGGAGAAAGAAGAGAAUCGAAUCUAGGAAGGGACAUGGAUGGAGCUGGAAACCAUUAUCCUCAGCAAA
Molecule: long non-coding RNA, 362 nt
Organism: Cercocebus atys (sooty mangabey)
Lineage: Eukaryota; Metazoa; Chordata; Mammalia; Primates; Cercopithecidae
Exons: 3
Source: RefSeq, a predicted model, not a curated record